Long non-coding RNA from Hyalella azteca, 372 nucleotides. RefSeq lists it as uncharacterized. The transcript has 3 exons. The record is from RefSeq and is a predicted model, not a curated record. Lineage: Eukaryota; Metazoa; Arthropoda; Malacostraca; Amphipoda; Hyalellidae.
GAACCAUUCUUAUAUGGAAAUGAAUCUUGUUCAACUGCACAUCUCAGCCCUGCACAUGCACUGUCCUCUUGUGUGCUAAGCAAGAUGGAGGCUCGAGUUGAGGCGCAUGAUGCCCACCUAAACUCCUCACGGAACAUUUCUGCUCUGUUGUCUAAUCAGUUUGGCAAAGAUGGGUCAGCACCGGCAUCUGGAGACAAUGAUGGCGAUGCUUACGUCUCUGGGGUGUCCAGCUCCAUGCCGCAGCAUUCUUCAAGAAAAGCUUCUUGGAGUGAACCUGCUGAUGAAUGCAAUGGAAUCAUGCACAAGCAGUGCCGUUCUAAAUGUUCAUUGAUAAAGAAGUUUUGCUGCUCUGAGUGUGAUUAUGCUUGCACC